ACAAACGACUCUCGGCAACGGAUAUCUCGGCUCACGCAUCGAUGAAGAACGUAGCAAAAUGCGAUACUUGGUGUGAAUUGCAGAAUCCCGUGAACCAUCGAGUUUUUGAACGCAAGUUGCGCCCGAAGCCAUUCGGUCGAGGGCACGUCUGCCUGGGCGUCAC
This 163-nucleotide ribosomal RNA is filed under the name Haroldia mendocina. RNAcentral's name for it is "5.8S ribosomal RNA". It matches the Rfam family "5.8S ribosomal RNA". Rfam says of the family: 5.8S ribosomal RNA (5.8S rRNA) is a component of the large subunit of the eukaryotic ribosome. It is transcribed by RNA polymerase I as part of the 45S precursor that also contains 18S and 28S rRNA. The record is from RNAcentral. Lineage: Eukaryota; Viridiplantae; Streptophyta; Magnoliopsida; Asterales; Asteraceae.